AUCAAGAAAGAUGUAAGCUAUUGGAUUGGUCCAAGCGUUUCCGCAUAAUUUGUGGGACUGGUAGGGGUCUUCUCUACCUUCAUCAAGAUUCUAGAUUGAGGAUUAUACAUCGAGAUCUCAAAGCAGGUAAUGUGUUACUCGAUCAGGAUAUGAAUCCAAAAAUUUCAGAUUUUGGCUUGGCCAGAACUUUUGGCGGAGAUGAGACAGAAGGAAACACAACCAGAGUUGUUGGAACAUAGUAAGUAUUUCCAGUCAUGUGAUCUUUACGAUUCACUUGCUUUGAUUAAUGACUUUGAUUAAUGAAAACUAACUUAUACGUUCUACUCCUCUGAAGUGGUUAUAUGGCACCAGAAUACGCUAGUGAUGGGCAAUUCUCAGUAAAAUCCGAUGUCUUCAGCUUUGGAAUAUUAUUGCUGGAGAUAGUAAGUGGAAAAAAAAAUAGAGGAUUUUAUCAUUUGGACAACAAGCUUAAUCUCAUAGGACAUGUAAGCAAAACGCAUAUAUACGACAUUUUCUAUCAUAGUUUAAACCACUAAAUACAUUAUAAGUGACAAAAGAGUUAUGAUAUGUUGUUAGGCAUGGAAGUUGUGGAACAAAGGCAUGCCUUCAGAAAUGAUUGAUCCCUGUUAUCAAGAAUCUUGUAAUCUGACUGAAGUGAUACGAUGCAUUCACAUCAGUCUAUUAUGUGUGCAACAACAUCCUGAUGACAGGCCAUGUAUGCCCUCGGUGAUUUUGAUGCUGGGCAGUGAGAUUGUGCUGCCUCAGCCGAAGCAACCCGGUUUCUUGGCGGAUAGGAAAUCAAUUGGACCAGAUUCUUUGUUAAGCAUUCCCGAAUCAUCUUCAAGUAACUCAAUUACGAUCUCAGAGUUGGAGGCUCGUUAGAGAUCUAUUAGUAACAUGCCAUCUUCUACAUUAUCUCUGAAACUUAAAUGACAUAAUCAGUGAUAUUUCAGCUAAAUGAUUGAAUCAGAAAUGAUGAGGUUUUUGGUUCAAUUAUCCUACGAUGUAGUAUAAGUUGUGGAUCUCAAAUAGAAUGCUUCCUAAUGUUUAUAUAGAAAUUGUAAAUAAGAGGAACUCUUCAUAAUAGCCCUUAGCAUCUUGUUAUUUUUGUCAUGAUUAUUAUUUAAAAAUAGCAAUUCAAGAUAUCAAAAAUAUGAACGUUAUAUUGUUAUCAUUUUGACUUCCUCUCGUUUAAAAUUAAAGAAAGAUACACAAGAUUCCAACCAAAAUUUUGAGUUUCAUUGAACAAUCAUAAACUCUUAUGCAUAAAGUCUACGUUUAAUGGGUGAGAAAUUAUUUUUCUUACUCACAUUGUAAUUAUAAAUGGACCCUAAUUAUAUUUAAAAUCUUUAGGUUUUGUCCUAUUUUCUUCUUUCUUUUUCAAUACCUUAUUUUCUAACCACUGAUUUAGUUACUUUAGGAAUCCGACGGUUUCUGAUUUUCUCAUUUACUUUUAUACGUGUGACGCUGUAAGGAGAACACAAUGCAAUCUCAUGAGAAAAUUUUCAGAUCGCAUGAAAAAUCACACCUGUCAACAAGAUCUUUUUGUUACAUCAUAUUUAUAUAUUAAUAUAGUGUAAAUAAUUUAAACAUGUAACAAACAUAAAUUAAUUUACUAAUGAUAUUAAUUAGAGACUAGGUCAAAAUCUCAUUAAGUCAUUUGAAUUAGAAUAAAAUCUAAUCACAUUUUGAUUAAGUGCAUGUUUGGUAUGGCUUAUUUAAAAGGCAUAAGUGCUUAUUUAAUCGUAUAAGCACUUUUUAAAAUUUUUUAUGGUGUUUGGUUUUUUUUUAAUAGAGUUUUUUUAGCUUAAAUAAGCUAAUUUACCUCUACUAGUAAAAGCCCAAAAUUUGAGCUUUUGGGAGUAGAGACUAUAGAGCUUUUCUAAAAAUAUAUAAUAUAAAAAAUAUCACACAUUUUAAUGGUUCAAAAGUGCUUUUUUUAUUGACAACCAAACACCAAUGACUUUUUAUCCAAAAGCUCUAUUGGUAUAAGCUCUACUGCUAUAAGCUCUACUGUUAUAAGCUCUAUUUAAUAAGCUGUACCAAACGGAGCCUAAAACUUAACCUAAUUGCAUUGGCUUUGCCAAGUAGUAAAACGAUAUCCAUUGUUUAUCUACCCUAUCAACCUGCUUCCGCUACCCCCUUGUAUUAAUUAAUAUCAGAGAGAUCAAAAUCUCAUUGGAUUAAAAUUAGAUCUAAUCAAACUUCAAUUAAAAUGUAACUCAAUUGUAUUUGAUUGGCCCAGAACUAGAAUAAUAUUUAAUGUUUAUCUAUCCUAUAAUUCGCUUCCACUGCCCUGCUGCGUGAAUUACAUAAUGGACAUGUUCUUUUAUGAUUAACUUACCAAACCUGUAUAAUAAAUUAUAUGAUAACUGAUGGUUUCAAAAUCUAAAAUUUAUCAAACACCUUAAGAAAUUGUUUGCUAAGUUGAUUACUUCAGGAGUUAAAUAACGUUAACUAAUGGUGAGCUUAUUUAUGCUCAUUAUUUAAUUUUUAAUUUUUUUAUCUUUUUAACAAUCUAAAUUUUAUUGGGAGUCUAAAUACAUACAUUUAUUGUACACCAUAAAAAUAUGCCUAACUAACAAUUCGCAUAUCCAAAACGGGAUCAAGCUUGGGCGGUUGAAUUUUAAGUCUAAGGGGUCAUCAGUUCUGAGAGUUUGAAGUAAAAUUCAGCCUUUGAAUAACUGUCAAUUUGGUAUGAUUGAGUUUGGGAAACACGUUUAUCUCAAUUGUCUCAAAACUACUAUUUGGUUACUAAAUUGGAUUGAUUAUGGCUUUCUAAACUUUAAAGAAGCUUAAUCUAGUGAUUGAUCAGAGGACUUUUGGUUUCUGUUUUUAAGCCGGGAUGGUCUCAACUGCUGGAAGCAGAACAUGGAGGCACCCAAUUUAGAUGAUACAUACAGCGCAAUGUGCACCUUAAAAAAUCGUCUUUAGCCUAAAAAGUUUGUAAUUGGAGAUGAAUAAUAUAUAGAAAUAUAUACAUUUUUGCCUCAUCAGCAAUCUCAUGUUUCUGCUUCAAUUCACAGAUAUCUCAUAAAGAACACUGUUGUCUGCAAAGAACAACUUUAUGACAGGAAACUUCUUGUGAAAGUAAUGGUAGAAUUUGGUAGCAGCAAGAAAUGCCAACUGCCAAACAUUUGGAGAGCCCUCUGAUGGAAUUGAAGACUGCAGAAUUUUCUGGACUCCACAUCUCUGAAAGUGGCAAAAGGUUACAUGUAACUGAUGGGGCAUUAAGAGUUGAUUGUGCAAAACCCCGUACCCUGCACUCUAGGACAUUGUUGAUGUGUAAUUUACCUGUGAUUGAAGAAAUCUUGGUGAGUGAAAUCAACCUGCGAAACUUUACAGUAAAUACUCUUUGAUUUUAUGCUCUAGGUUUGAAUUUAUAUCUCAACAGCACAUCAUUGCUUCACUACAAACGACAAAAUGGAAGGUCAAAUCCAGCAUAAUUCUCUCAUGCAUCUGAAUAAAAUUCCAAUCCAGACCUAUUUGUAACGCAGCUGGACUGACCUUUAAAAUCCAAGAUCACUAAUAUUGGUUGCCAAGAUUUUAUUAUCACAUCAAAUGGGACAGGUUUAGUCGUGUAGAAUCUUGUCUUCAUAACCUCAUAGAAAUUGAAUUUUCAACUACCAGUCACUGUUGUUCAAGUUUCCACCACUUGCAACACUAAAUAAUUGCGUUCUCGCAAGGGAAUUUGAGUCCAGAAGCAUUGACUUCUAGUUCAAUGCCGUUAAAGAUGGAUCAUUAGUCAUAGUAUUAGCAUCUAUAUAGUUUGUUAGAGAGAGAUCUAAGUUUAUACACGAAUGGGUGUACUUUUAUUUUUGUUCGUCUGUUGUAAUUUACUAUUUUUCUUGCCUGAUUCCUCUUUUGGAUCUGAUACCAUUACUUCAUCUCAGUCUCUUAGUGAUGGUAGGACCUUAGUUUCAAAAGAUGGAAGCUUCGAGCUUGGUUUCUUCAGUCCUGGUAGUUCCAAGAAUCGUUACAUUGGAAUUUGGUACAAAAGCAUCCCAGUUAAAACUGUUGUUUGGGUAGCAAACCGACUCAACCCCAUCAAUGACUCUUCUGGAUUGUUAAUUAUAAACAAGAGGGGCAAUCUUAUUUUAAAAAGCCAGAGCAUGAGGGUAGUUUGGUCAGCAAGCUUGAGCAAAGAAGUGCAGCAGACUCCAGUGGUAUUACAGCUACUAGAUUCAGGAAAUCUUGUCCUCAGAGGUGAACAAGAGGGUGAUUCUGGAACUUAUUUCUGGCAAAGCUUUGAUUAUCCUUCUGAUACAUUGCUUCCAGGAAUGAAGCUCGGAUGGGAUUUAAAGACUGGCUUUGAGCGACGUGUAAUAUCGUGGAAGAGCGCAGACGACCCGUCUCCUGGAGACUUUAUUUGGGCAGUUGAACGACAAGAUAAUCCUGAGGUAGUCAUGUGGAAGGGUUCAAGCAAGUUUUAUACCACUGGCCCGUGGAAUGGCCUUAGCUUCAGUGCCCCAACGACAAGGCCUAACCCAAUUUUUAACUUCAGCUUUGUCGCUAAUGAGGAUGAGCUGUGCUACACAUUCAGCAUCAAAGAUAAAGCAGUUGUCUCAAGGAUUGUCAUGAACCAAACCACCUAUUUAGGUCAAAGAUUCACAUGGAGUAAUAACACUCAAACUUGGGACUUGUAUUCAAAAGCGCCAAGAGAUGAAUGUGACACUUAUGGUCUUUGUGGUGCCUAUGGUGUUUGCAUUAUCAGCAAAUCGCCCGUAUGCCAAUGUUUAAAAGGUUUUAAAACUAAAUCAGGCGGGUACAUGGACUGGCAUGAAGGGUGUGUGCGUAGUAAGGCAUUAAACUACUCUAGACAAGAUGGUUUUAUCAAAUUUACUGAGCUGAAAUUGCCAGAUGCUAAUUUCUCUCGGGUGAGCAAAAGUGUGAAUCUCAAGGAAUGCAGGGAGAAGUGCUUAGAAAACUCUUCAUGUAUGGCGUACACAAAUUCAGAUAUCAGAGGAGGCGGCAGUGGCUGUGCCAUGUGGUUUGGCGAUCUGAUUGACAUGAGAAGCUUUCCAGAUGGUGGGCAGGACUUCUAUAUUCGAAUGUCUGCUUCAGAGCUAGGUAUUUGCUGACCUCUUUAUGUUACUCCAUAAUGAGAAUUUAGAAGUGCCACUCCAGUUAGAUUACAUGUUCCCAUUUUUUUUAUUGUGUGAUUUGUUCACGAGUUCAGAUAUUGAGGUACUCCUAUCUGCUUGAACAGUGAAUUUUUGCUGCAACUUGAGUUUUUUUUUUUUUUUCUUUACCUUUAUGAUUAUUGACGUACUUUACUAUAUCUGAAUAUGCCAAUCAAGGAAUGAAAGGCGAGCCUACGACAAAGAUAGUGGUGCUAGUCAUUUCUGCCGUUGCUCUGUUGGCCGUGGUGCUUAUAUCUGGCUAUUUGAUCCACAAACGAAGGAGAAACAUAGCAGGUAAAAUAACUCCCUUUGCCUUCACAUAUUUAUUGCCAUUUGUUUGAACUUUUACGCAGCAGUUUUCAUUCAACCAAUGGUUCCGAUAGUUUUCUUUGCUUUCUUCAUUAUGAGUUCUUCAAUCAAAUUCUUUACCAAGUAGAUAGUAUUGAAAGAGCAUAUCAAUUAGACGGGGACUGUUAAAUGAAUGAACUUUAAUAAAUUUUGUGGAAAAGAAGAACCUUCGCAUCAAGAACAAGAAAAUGGAAGUUUCCAUUUUAAUUAAGUCCUGUAUCUGGACUGCAUAUGUUUCUUUCGGUUAGUACUGUCCAUUAUUAUUUCUGUGAAAACAGAAACUGAUCAGGAAAACGAAGAUCAAAACAUUGACCUGGAGCUACCACUAUUUGAAUUAGCUACAAUUUCUAAUGCCACCAAUAACUUUUCAAUCAACAACAAGCUUGGAGAAGGUGGCUUUGGACCUGUAUACAAGGUAAACAGAAACUUGCUUGUCAAAAUUACUUAUUUUACCUGGUAAUUAAAUUCACAUGUCUUUCCAGGGCACACUUGUGGAUGGGCAGGAAAUUGCUGUGAAAAGGCUUUCAAAGAUUUCUGAUCAAGGAUUGAAGGAGUUGAAGAAUGAAGUUAUACUAUUCUCCAAAUUACAGCACAGAAAUCUUGUAAAGCUUCUUGGCUGCUGCAUUCACGGAGAGGAGAAAUUGUUGAUUUAUGAAUUCAUGCCGAACAAAAGCCUGGACUACUUCAUAUUUGGUCUGGAUGCCUCUAAAACUUACAAUUUUCAGCUAGCUAGUCCCUUGAUUAUAAACGUUUCUUAUAAUUUAGUGCAGAUUUUUUUUUAUAAAAAAAAAAGAGAGAAUUCAAGCUGAAAAUUGUACUAACCUUUGUUAUGAUACUCUCUAGAUCAAACUAAUAGUAAGCUAUUGGAUUGGUCCAAGCGUUUUCACAUUAUAUGUGGAACUGCUAGGGGGCUUCUCUACCUUCAUCAAGAUUCUAGAUUGAGGAUUAUACAUCGAGAUCUCAAAGCAAGUAAUGUGUUACUUGAUCAUGAUAUGAACCCAAAAAUUUCAGAUUUUGGCUUGGCUAGAACUUGUGGUGGAGACAAGACAGAAGGAAACACAAACAGAGUGGUUGGAACAUAGUAUGUCUUGUUUUUUCAUCUUUAUUAUUCAUUUCCACUGAUUAAUAAAAUUUAACUUUUUCUGAUUCUUUGAAGUGGUUAUAUGGCACCGGAAUAUGCUAGUGAUGGGCUAUUCUCAACAAAAUCCGAUGUCUUCAGCUUUGGCAUUUUGUUGCUAGAGAUAGUAAGUGGAAAAAAAAAUAGAGGAUUUUAUCAUUCAGACCACAGCCUUAACCUUAUUGGACAUGUAAGUAAAAUGCACACUCUUCUUAGAAAAUGAAUCAAGAAUUAUGUCACUUUAAUUUUGACUUAAAUUAGUUUAAACUGAUAAAUCAUAAAUGAUGAAAAAGUUUUGAUAUCUUUUAGGCAUGGAAGUUGUGGAACGAAGGCAUGCCUUUACAACUGAUCGAUGCUUGUUAUCAAGAAUCAUGCAAUCGCGCUGAAGUGAUACGAUGUGUCCACAUUAGCUUAUUGUGUGUGCAACAGCAUCCCGACGACAGGCCAAGCAUGCCAUCAGUGAUCUUGAUGUUGGGCAGUGAGAUUGUAUUGCCUCAGCCAAAGCAACCUGGUUUCUUGGCGAACAAGAAAUCAACAGAACCAGAUUCUUCAUCAAGCAUGCUUGAAUCAUCUUCUACUAACACAAUUACGAUCUCAGAGUUGGAGGGUCGAUAGAGAAGCUAUUAGUGAAACGUCUUAUGAGACACUUUCUGAAACUUAAAGAGUACAUUUUCAGUAAUAUUUCAAACUUGGAAUGAUUUAUUCACAGUUUUAACGCUCUUGUGAAUCUAGUACCAACGAUUAAUUUUACUAGUCGGAUUACAACUUAAUAAUUUUGUUACAACUUAUCUAUCCUGGAGUGGAUCCUAAUCCAUAUUUUUUAGUCUAAUUUAUCUGGAGGAAGAUGAAUAACCUUAUUAAAAGAUGUCAUAUCAAUAAAUAUUAAUAAAUCUUUAAAUUAUUUUGUCUUUCAUUAUGUUAACAAAUUGUUAAAUUUUCUAACUGACAUCCCAUGACGCCGACAUAAUUUGUGAUCAUCAAUUAAAUUUUUUGCAUCUAAUAAUUGGUAACACACUAAUCUUUCAAUGGAUGCUGAUAAAGCCAUUAAGGGGCCAUCAUCACCUUUGAGAGUUCGAAGAAAAUCUCAGCCUUUUUGGGUUUGCAAGACUUGAGUGAUGAUGAUCUCAAGUGUAUGUUGAAAGAAGGUGACUUUGAUUGUGAUAGAGCUCUUAAGCAGAUGGAGUUUUGUGUCUUGAUGCUUAAAUUGAGUCCUGAGGUGAUGAUGCUUCAAGGUUAUUGGUUGAAGAAGCUCUAGAACAAGAGUUCAGUGGUUGUCAUGGAUUUUCGGCCUUUUAUUUAUUUAUUUGUUUGUUCGUUUUAUUGAUGUUUCAAGAUUUUUUUUUAAUGAAAUAAAUUUUCUUAUGCAGAAGGAAAUGAGAAAUAUAGAUAACCAUUUGGAAUAUCUAUUUACUUGUUUUAUGGCAUAUACUAAGAAUGUAGAUAUGAAUUUGGCUUGAUAACUUAGCAACAGCUACAAAAGUUUUUGUCAAUUUGGUCCGAUUGCCAUCCAAUUUAAGAGAGUUGGGGAUCAAGUCUUGCUCAGUUGUCUCAAGACUUUACUAUUUGGUUACCAAAUUUAAUCAAUCAUGGCUCUCCAAACUUUGAAUAGCCUAACGUAGCGAUUGAUCAGAGGACUUGGGUUUCUCGGUUUAAGCCUGGAUGUUCUCAAGUGGUGGAAGCCCAACAUGCGGGCUCCCAAAUUAGAUGAUCUAUCUAUACAGCCCCAUAUGCUUAAAAAAUCAAUCUUUUGCCUAAAAUUUUUUGUAAUUGGUGCCUCAUCAGCAAUCUAUGUUUCUGCUCCAAGUUACUGAUAUCUCAUAGAGAACAUUGUUGUCUGGAAAACUGUGGCAAAAGCUUGACACUGGAGCUGGAGGUGAGUUUUACUUGAGAUACAUUGUCUAAUCAAGCAAUGAGUUGUUGUAAACCUUGAUGACAGGCUAAAGAAAUAUUAAAAUGCAAAAACUUUACCGUAGGAAAGUUCUUGUAAAAGUGACGGUCCCCUCUGGUAGCUAUUAGAAAUUUCAAAUGUCCAAAUCUUUUGAGGGCCCUGUGAUGGAAUCGGCUUCAAGACCUGCUGAAUUUUCUGGAUUCCAAGGGUAUGUUUGGGAUUGCUUUUGGCUUUAAAAUUUUUGGGUUGAUUCAUAAUUUUGGGUUAGAUUUUGUGUAAAGAUAUAUAUAUAUAUAUAUAUUUUGCCCCUGUGACAUCAUCAUGACAUCUGUAUUUGACUAGUCGUUCUAACCAAAAAAAUAAUAAAAAUUAAACUACAACAAAAACACUUUAAUAAUUUAUGUAGUGGUUUGUGUUACUUCAUCAUAGUUGAAGACUUGAAGUAGUGAGAUAAUAAAUAAAUAAAUAAUAGCUCCAAAAAAAAAAAAUUAAAUAAUGUAUUGCGUGUUCAAACCGCCUUCAGUAUAACAUUUGGCCCCAAAACUAAUAAAACUAAUAGAAAUUGUAAAGAAUAAAUAAUAGCAUAACAUUUAGCCCCUACCGUUUGUAGGCUGUUCUGUUGACUGUUUGUUGGCCGAUGAAAAGACAAGGAUACCCCUCGCGCUCAAAUCAAGAACCGAAUUUACUAUUUCGACUGCUGUAAUCUGCUUUAGCGCCAAAGGGUAGAGUACUUGCCAAAUGACAAAACGCCAUUGACAAAACAAUGACAUUACUGAAUCAUUAAAAAAUAAUAAUAAUAAAUUAAAUACAACUCUAUUCCUCUUAUGACCAUAAAUUGUUACAUUUGUAAGCAAAAAAUAAACAAAUAGAUAGAUGAAAAAAAAAAAAAAACACAUUUCCCAUUUCUUUCACUUGCUUCUCAAGCCAUACACACUCUUUCAUCAAUUAAUCACAGCUCAACUUUUAAUUGAAUUUCAAACAUUGGAAUCAAACCAUGGAUUCACAAAGGUCAAAAUAGGGGAGUGUUUGGAAUUGAGAUGAUGUAGCUUCUAAGUUAUAGUUGUUGUGGAAAAAAAACUGUAACUAUAAAACAAAAGUUAGUAAUAUAUAGUAAAUGUGAAUUUUAAAUAAUAAUUUUGAUAAAAUUAUUAAAAAUAUAAUAAAUUUUCCAUUAUACAAGUGAAAAAUCAUAUUAAUAUAGCUCUCAAGCUACUGCUCUAAAGUGUUUGGUUUACAGCAACUAGUGUUUACCAAACACUUUAGAGCUGUAGCUGUCCAACCUCAAUCCCAAACGCACCAUAUAUCAAGCAAAUCAACAACAAUUUUAUGCACCAUGUUGAAAGUUUUCUCAUCUAGGACUGGCAAGCACCAGAAUGGCUGGAUCAUCAACAACAAUUUAUGAGCCACUGUGUCUCGGUUUCACUGAAUUGCUGGAUGAUUAGCUUGGUCUUGAAGCUGAAAUUUUCACCUAGAACUGAGAAAAUAGUUAAAUGAAAUAAUAUGACAUACAAUAAAGUCAACAAAAUAAAAGGACAAAUAAACUUAUUUAGUAAUGUCGCAAUUAUAUUUAUUGCCAUGCUAUCACUUUCAUUGCAGACAUCAUCACCAUAAUACUAGCAGUCUAGCACUAAUAGUCAGAAUAAUAAUAAUAAUAGUAGUAGCACAAUUUUUGAAAUUUCUGUAGAGUAAGAUCUAAAGAUGCCAAAAAUAUCAUAUGAAAAAAAAAAAGGUCCAAGAAUUCAAGGAAAGAAAACUCAUUAACAAAGAACCUAACUUUUUAAUCAUGUUUAAUAAACUAAGUUCUUAUGAUUUUCCAUUAUUAAGACAAUUGGUUUCUGCUUUCUAAUGUUUCAAAGCAUACCAAGAAAUAUUAACAAUUACCAAAUCAGUAAGCAGCACAAUUACUUGAUAAGACUUUUGACUUGUCUAACCCAAAAUUGUACCCAAUUCUACACUCUACUAUGAAGCUUAUGAAGCCGAACUUACUUUGACCAAACAACACUAUUAGCUCAGUUAAAGGAAACCACAACUGAACAAAGAUCAGAUGAAAUAACUAAAUUGAAAAAAGUUCAUAAAACUAAAAAUAACUUAUAUUAGUCUAUUAAAGACAUACAAAACAGGAAGAUAAAUAAACAUAGGUCUAUUUUCUUGACACUGCCAAGUUUUGGUUUCAAAAUCACCAUAUUGCAAUAAUAAAUUGUUGUGAUUCCUAAGAUACAAUAUGUAGCAGCUUAUAUGCUGGCAAUCAUAGUCAAAGAAGAUGGUUGUCAAACGUCCUCGCAAAUCAAGAAGCUAAUAAAGACCAGGUCGCACAACAUUACCAUAUAUCAGUUCUUUGAUAUAAAGAUAUUGAAUGUUAUACACUUCUAAUCCCAAGUCCUGAAACAUAAAACAAAAGUUCACUUCACACAUUCAUAAAGCUAAAGUACUAGAGAAAUGGAGAAUAGGCAUGGAUAUGGGUCAAUAAACUAUUAAGCUAAUUAAUGCACACGACGGCAUCUGUUAGAACUAGUUAAAUAGCCCUUACCAGAGAACUAGCAGAAGCAUCCAAUUUCCUAAAAGGAGAUAACUUACAACAUAAACAUUUUGAUAGGCAGCGAUACACAUAAAAUAGCAUCACUUACCAUUAAGCAAUAUGCUAGUAUUAACUUACGAGAUAACAACUGAUGAUUGAUUCAGUUGCACUUACAUAUGCCUAAAGUUUUAACUUUCAAAUUGAUUGCUGCUUGCUCCUUUAUCUAGAAACAUAUUUGACGGUGAUUAAUCCUGACCUCUACCAUGCCAUUCAAUUUUCAUAUUCUCAUAAUCAUAAAUUCACUUUUAGGAAUAUCAACUCCACUAUUAAGAGCCCAAACUUGAUCAAACAGAACUAUUAGCUCAUAACUUCAUCAAUUGGAUAAAUAAAGUCACAAUAACAAUGCCAGCAGCUGCUUCAACACAUCAUCAACAAACCCAUUUUCAUUUAAUCAACAAAAAUCCCCGACAGCAUUUUCAACACAUCAACAAACCCAUUUUCAUUUUAAUUGAUAAAACAACGCCAGCAGCAGAGCAACUUCAUCAAAACAUCAACAAACCCAUUUUCAUUUUAAUCCACAAACAACACCAGCAACAGAACAUAUUCUUCGACACAUUAACAAACCCAUUUUCAUUUUUAAAUAACAAAACAAAAUAAUGCCCAAUCACUGAUUUCCAACAUGCAAAGAGUUUUUUUUUUUUUUCAAAGACUAACCUUCUACGCUAUUGAGCGACGGUCGCCUCUAGCCCCGACCGCAGGCGGCACUCAGUCGACGCCGUCACCCUUGAUUAUCACCUUACGGUUGAUUUCUUUAUCUUCAAAGCAUUUAGAGGUGGAUAUGUUUUUGUGUUUCGGUUAGAUGAAGGAGAAUUGUUUUUGUGAUGAAUAGAUUUGAUGAAAGAGAAGAAACACUCUCAAAUCUGCUGGAUAUAUUAUGUAGCGAUAGAUGCAUUGGAUAAUAACUUGUAGCCUCAGCAUUUUAUUUUUUAAAAUUUAAUUUUUGGAAUAUAAAUGUGUACUACGAUUCUACGAAUUUACCCUCAUCCAUUAACGAUAAAUGAAACGGUAUACAGACUGUAGGGGAGGAAAGUGAAGAUACAUUGAUAAUUUCUAUCAAGUGGAAAUACGCUAAACCUUAGGGGAUACAACUGCAAAUUACCCUUUUUCAUGGUACCUCAUAAUUAGUGGAAAACAAAACAAAUAUACAAAAACAGAUAAACUUCAAAUCAUUUUCCCGUGAUACUCAAUAAUAUAAUUCAACUGCCUCAAGCUCUGACAUUAACAAUCCUUCAGGAGUAUCAUUUUGAUGCACCUUGCUAAAUUACAUAAAAUAUAUCAUUCAACGAAUCACUAGGAAACCACUUGUUAGUUGUGAUGUAUGUAACCUAACCACACCCCAUUUUAACGUACUUUCGUCUGCAAUGUAAGAUAGAAAGAUUCCAAUAAAAAAUUUGAUUCUUGUCCGAACAUAACUACGAUGUGCACAAAGUCUGUGUUGCUACAAGAACGAUUUUAAUGGAGGACAAAUUAUUUUUCUUACAUUUACAUUAUCUUCGGUGGGACUCCACUUGUAAUCGAAGAUUUUGUUCUGUGUCUCAUUUACCAGGUGUUUAGGUUGCCAUUUUCUGUUUUCUUUCUCAAAAACUUAUUUUCUAACCAUUGAUUUGGUUACCUUAUGAACCGACGGUUUCCCUUUUCUUUAUAUAUAUAUAUAUAGGUUGCUGUCGUGGUCAAAUGAAAGAUCGUGUAAUAUUGCUUUGCCUCCAAGAUUUUAUUAUAAUAAUCCUGUUCAUAUGUUCAUAGAAGUUUCAGGUACAGGUCAUCGUUUUUCAAGGUCCCAUCACUUCACAACAUUGAAUAAUUACUUCUAAAGGAAAUUUGAGCCUAUGCAGGCAGAACAAGCCAACUUCGGCUGCAGGUAUUGGCCUGAAGGUCAGCAUAAACUAAUUUAAAUAAGCCAAGAUAGAUCAUUAAUUAGGGUGUUUAUAUGUAUUUAACUUGUGAGCGAGAUCUAAAUCUAAAUAGUAGAAACCAAUGGAUGCACUUUCGCUCUUGUUAAUCUGUUGCAAGUUACUGCUUAUCUUUUCUGAAUUCUCAUUUGCAUCAGAUGUCCUUACUUCGUCUCAGUCUCUUAGUGAUGGAAACACCUUAAUAUCAAAAGGUGGAAGCUUUGAGCUUGGUUUCUUCAGUCCCGGUAGUUCCAAGAAUCGUUAUGUGGGAAUUUUGUACAAAAGUAUACCAGUUAAAACAGUUGUUUGGGUUGCAAACCGCCUCAAACCCAUCAAGGACUCUUCUGGCUUGUUAAUGAUAAACAGGACAGGCAAUCCUGUUUUAACAAGCCCGAGCAUGGGCAUAGUUUGGUCAGCGAGCUUGAGCAAAGAGGUGAGUUCUCCUCUGGUAUUACAGCUACUGGAUUCAGGAAAUCUUAUCCUCAGAGGUGAACAAGAUGGUGAUUCUGAAAAUUAUUUUUGGCAAAGCUUUGAUUAUCCUUCUGAUACAUUGCUACCAGGAAUGAAGGUCGGAUGGGAUUUAAAGACAGGUCUUGAGCGGCGCUUGACAUCAUGGAAGAGCUCAAAUGACCCGUCUCCUGGAGACCUUAUUUUGAAAAUUGAACGACAAGGAUAUCCCUAUCUAGUGAUGUGGAAGGGAUCAACAAAGUUCUAUAGGACCGGCCCAUGGAAUGGCGUUACAUUCAGUGCUUCAUCACUAAAGCCUAACUCAAUCUUUAACGUCAGCUUUGUAUUUAAUGAGGAUGAGCUCUACUACACAUUCAACCUCAUAGAUAAAGCUGUUUUCUCAAGGACUGUUGUGAACCAAACACUCUCUUUACGUCAACGAUUCGUGUGGAGUAAAGCAACUCAAAGUUGGGAGCUGUAUUCAAAUUUGCCAAGAGAUCAGUGUGACACCUACAAUCUCUGUGGUGCCUACGGCAUUUGCAGCAUUAGCAAAUCGCCUAUUUGCCAAUGUUUAAUAGGUUUCAAACCUAAAUCAGAGGGUUAUGUGGAACGGUCUCAAGGGUGCGUACGUACUAAGCCGUUAAACUACUCUCGACGUGAUGGUUUUGUCAAAUUUAAUGAUCUGAAAUUGCCAGAUUCUACUUCCUCUUGGGUUAGCAAAAGUAUGAAUCUCAAUGAAUGCCGGGAGAAAUGCUUAGACAACUCUUCUUGUAUGGCAUACACAAAUUCAGAUAUCAGAGGAGAAGGCAGUGGCUGUGCCAUGUGGUUUGGUGAUCUGAUUGACAUCAGAUACUUCCAAGAUGGUGGGCAGGACUUGUAUAUUCGAAUGUCUGCUUCAGAGCUAGGUAUCCGUAUACUUCUUUAUGUCAUUCCAUUAUGAGAACUUAGGAGUACCACUCCAGUUAGACUAGUUCCACAUUUUUAUUGUGCAAUUUAGUAUUGAGUUCUGAUUGAGAAGCUCCUUUCGCAUAAAGCAGUUUCUGGGUAUAGCUUCUAUGCAUGGAAUUUUCCUGCUAUUUGAAUCCUUUUUUCUUAGCUAUAUGAUUAUUGACUUGCUUUGCUAUAUCUGAAUACGCUGAUCAAGAAGCGAAAGGUGAGCCUACGACAAAGAUAGUGGUGAUAGUCAUUUCUAGUGCUGCUCUGCUAGCAGUGCUGCUUAUAGCUGGCUACUUGAUUCGCAAACGCAGGAGAAAUAUAGCAGGUAUAAUAGCACUCCAUUUUCCUUCACAAAUUUAUAGCCAUUUGCUUGCAUUUUUAUGAUAGCCGUUUCCUUUCAAUCAAUAUUUAUAUGAGUCCAAUUUUUCUGUAUCAAAUCUUCAAUAAAAUCUUUCACCAAGUAGAAUAAGUUUUUAUAUGCAGCAAUAACUGUACGUUUGUUUCAAGAUGAAGAGUUAACAUUGCAUAUCAUUUAGAUCAGGGGCAAGGUAAUUAAACUUGUAAAUUUUUGGUUGGAAUAGCAGUUUUACAUACUUGCAUUUAGUGUUAUAUUAAUACACGCUUCUUUUUCACCUAUGGUUCUCUAUUUACUUGCACUUUCAUAUUGACUGGAAAAUAGCUUUAAUACAAAUUUACAGAUAAAGAACCUUCUCAUCAGGAAGAUGAAAAUUGUAGUUACUAGUUAGUAGUUUGUCCAGUAUACGUACUGCAUAUGCGCUUUCAGCUAAUAUUGUCCAAUAUUUCAGAGAAAACAGAAAACGAUCAGAUUCAAAACAUAGACCUGGAGCUACCAUUGUUUGAGUUAGCUACAAUUGUUAGUGCCACCAAUAACUUUUCAAUCAACAAGAAGCUUGGACAAGGUGGCUUUGGACCCGUUUACAAGGUAAACUUGAAACUUGCUAGUCAAAAAUACUUAUUUUAAUUGGUAACUAAAUUCACAUAUAUGUCUUGCCAGGGCAAGCUAGUGGAUGGACAGGAAAUUGCUGUGAAGAGGCUUUCGAAGAUUUCUGAGCAAGGAUUGAAGGAGUUGAAGAAUGAGGUUAUACUGUUUUCCAAAUUACAGCACAGAAAUCUCGUAAAGCUUCUUGGCUGCUGCAUUCAAGGAGAGGAGAAAUUGUUGAUUUAUGAAUUCAUGCCGAACAAAAGCCUGGACUCUUUCAUUUUUGGUCUGGAUCCCUCUAAACCUUAAAAUAUUCGGCUAGCUUGUGCCUUGAUUAUAGACGUUUCUUAUGUAUUUUCAGAAAAUUUUGCACUAACCUUAGUGUGGUAAUUUGUAGAUCAAGAAAGAUGUAUGAUAUUGGAUUGGUCCAAGCGUUUCCACAUUAUUUGUGGGACUGCUAGGGGCCUUCUGUACCUUCAUCAAGAUUCUAGAUUGAGGAUUAUACAUCGAGACCUCAAAGCAAGUAAUGUGCUACUCGAUCAAGAUAUGAACCCAAAAAUUUCAGAUUUUGGUUUGGCUAGAGCUUUUGGUGGAGACGAGACAGAAGGAAACACAAACAGAGUGGUUGGAACAUA
RNAcentral lists this long non-coding RNA (15898 nucleotides) under Citrus sinensis (sweet orange). RNAcentral describes it as "long non-coding RNA (CSIN_LNC001685)". Lineage: Eukaryota; Viridiplantae; Streptophyta; Magnoliopsida; Sapindales; Rutaceae. The record is from RNAcentral.